UGAUCUGGAAGUCUUUGAUGGUGAUGAAUUAUACAGAUUGAGUAGCUUGAGUUACCUUCAGCUUACCCUGGAUCAUAGCACUUACGUGCAUAAGGAAGUUCAGAGAAUUAAAAAGGAACAUCCUGACGAUCCUUGUGCAGUAAUGAAUGAGAGAGUGAAAGGUUACUUGAAGGUUACUAGGGCUUUUGGAGUUGGCUUUCUCAAGCAGCCAAAAUGGAAUGAUUUACUCCUGGAAAUGUUUCAAAUUGACUACAUUGGAAACUCCCCUUACAUCACAUGUCAUCCAUCACUAUAUCACCAUAAAUUAAGCUCAAGAGACAGGUUUCUAAUACUGUCAUCUGACGGGUUAUACCAGUACUUCACCAAUGAAGAAGCAGUCUCAGAGGUUGAACUGUUCAUUUCUGCAUUUCCUGAGGGAGAUCCUGCCCAACAUCUAAUAGAGGAAGUUCUAUUUCGUGCAGCCAAAAGAGCUGGUAUUGACUUCCAUGAGUUGCUUGCCAUUCCACAAGGGGAUCGGCGCCGGUACCAUGAUGAUGUUUCUGUGAUAAUUAUUUCUUUGGAAGGCAGGAUUUGGCGUUCAUCUUUGUAAAUAUAGCAAAAGUUCCAUUAAUCGUAUUAGCCUUGGUAUUUCUCCUCAUUUUUGGCCUUGGAUCAUAAUAUACCAACUAGGUUUUAGAGAAAAGAAGUUGUUGCUGCAUAUAUCAAGUUUUUUUUAUACCGUAAAGGUUGUACAAAAAGUAUUCUUGUUCUAGUAAUUUAGCUAUCUCGUAAUGCAAGUCCUCCCUUAUAUUAUCAGGUGCAAUACAAUUGGCCGUGACUGGUAUU
This 825-nucleotide unclassified non-coding RNA is filed under the name Hevea brasiliensis (rubber tree). The record is from RNAcentral. Lineage: Eukaryota; Viridiplantae; Streptophyta; Magnoliopsida; Malpighiales; Euphorbiaceae.